GAUGAACGCUGGCGGCGUGCUUAACACAUGCAAGUCGAACGGGAAACUUUUCAUUGAAGCUUCGGCAGAUUUGGUCUGUUUCUAGUGGCGGACGGGUGAGUAACGCGUGGGUAACCUGCCUUAUACAGGGGGAUAACAACCAGAAAUGGUUGCUAAUACCGCAUAAGCGCACAGGACCGCAUGGUCCGGUGUGAAAAACUCCGGUGGUAUAAGAUGGACCCGCGUUGGAUUAGCUAGUUGGCAGGGUAACGGCCUACCAAGGCGACGAUCCAUAGCCGGCCUGAGAGGGUGAACGGCCACAUUGGGACUGAGACACGGCCCAGACUCCUACGGGAGGCAGCAGUGGGGAAUAUUGCACAAUGGGGGAAACCCUGAUGCAGCGACGCCGCGUGAAGGAAGAAGUAUCUCGGUAUGUAAACUUCUAUCAGCAGGGAAGAUAGUGACG
This 445-nucleotide ribosomal RNA is filed under the name uncultured bacterium. RNAcentral's name for it is "bacterial SSU rRNA". It matches the Rfam family "Bacterial small subunit ribosomal RNA", at positions 28 to 456 of the family's 1533-position model. The record is from RNAcentral.